RNAcentral lists this long non-coding RNA (279 nucleotides) under Homo sapiens (human). RNAcentral describes it as "non-protein coding LINC02271:7". The record is from RNAcentral. Lineage: Eukaryota; Metazoa; Chordata; Mammalia; Primates; Hominidae.
CAGAAACCUAGGCUGAAAUAACCAGCACUACUUGCCAAACACUUUAGAAAGAUUAUGUUUCUUCUCCAUUACAGAAGUGGAACAUAUGGUUCAGUUUGCAGCAAGAUCCUCCCAGGAAAGUGAAGCGGAGAAAAUGGAGGUAGAAACUAUUCUCCUCAUUAAACUACCUGCCCUCUGUAAUGUAGCUCUUCUGUGCUGCAGAAAUUGAUACUACACAAGAAAAGAAAUGAUGGGAGAAUAGUGAAGAAGAGAAGAACUGGCCAGGUAGCAACAUAUAAG